This 492-nucleotide ribosomal RNA is filed under the name uncultured bacterium. RNAcentral's name for it is "partial 16S ribosomal RNA". It matches the Rfam family "Bacterial small subunit ribosomal RNA", at positions 29 to 507 of the family's 1533-position model. The record is from RNAcentral.
AGUGAACGCUGGCGGUAGGCCUAACACAUGCAAGUCGAACGGCAGCACCGUAAGAGCUUGCUCUUACGGGUGGCGAGUGGCGGACGGGUGAGGAAUACAUCGGAAUCUACUUUUUCGUGGGGGAUAACGUAGGGAAACUUACGCUAAUACCGCAUACGACCUACGGGUGAAAGCAGGGGAUCUUUGGACCUUGCGCGAUUGAAUGAGCCGAUGUCGGAUUAGCUAGUUGGCGGGGUAAAGGCCCAGCAAGGCGACGAUCCGUAGCUGGUCUGAGAGGAUGAUCAGCCACACUGGAACUGAGACACGGUCCAGACUCCUACGGGAGGCAGCAGUGGGGAAUAUUGGACAAUGGGCGCAAGCCUGAUCCAGCCAUACCGCGUGAGUGAAGAAGGCCUUCGGGUUGUAAAGCCCUUUUGUUGGGAAAGAAAAGCAGCAGGUUAAUACCCCGCUGUUCUGACGGUACCCAAAGAAUAAGCACCGGCUAACUACGUG